Podarcis lilfordi (Lilford's wall lizard) is the source of this 559-nucleotide non-coding RNA. NCBI's taxonomy places the organism in Eukaryota, Metazoa, Chordata, Lepidosauria, Squamata, Lacertidae. The record is from the annotation of a GenBank genome assembly.
CCGCAUUUUACCAGCUUCUUUACAAGAAUAUCAUGGGGCACCUUAUCAAAUGCCUUGCUGAAAUCAAGGUAGGCUACAUCCACUGCAUUCCCUUCAUCUACCAGGCUUGUAAUUCUGUCAAAAAACAAGAUCAGGUUAGUCUGACAUGACUUAUUUUUCAGAAAUCCAUGCUGACUAUUGGUGAUCACAGCAUUCCUUUCUAGGUGCUCACAGACUGUUUGCUUAAUGAUCUGCUCCAGAAUCUUUCCUGGUAUUGAUGUCAGACUGACUGGGCGGUAAUUAUUUGCGUCCUCUCUUUUCCCCUUUUUGAAAAUAGGGACAACAUUUGCCCUCCUCCAGUCUGCCGGGACUUCGCCUGUUCUCCAGGAAUUCUCAAAGAUGACUGCCAGUGGUUCUGAGAUCACAUCUGCCAGUUCUUUUAAUACUCUUGGAUGCAGUUCAUCUGGCCCUGGAGACUUGAAUACAUCUAAACUAGCCAAGUAUUCUUGUACUAUCUCCUUAGUUAUUCUGGGCUGUGUUUCCUUUGCUGAAUCAUUUGCUCCAAAUUCUUCAGGUCGGG